Molecule: ribosomal RNA, 303 nt
Filed under: uncultured bacterium
Lineage: Bacteria
Description: partial 16S ribosomal RNA
Rfam family: Archaeal small subunit ribosomal RNA
Source: RNAcentral
AGCAGUAGCCACGGUAAUACCAGCAGCCCAAGUGGUGGUCGCGAUUAUUGGGCCUAAAGCGCUCGUAGCCGGGCCGGUAAGUCCCUUGUGAAAUCGGACGGCCUAACCGUUCGGCGUGCAAGGGAUACUGUCGGUCUUGAGGCCGGGAGACAUCCGAGGUACUCCGGGGGUAGCGGUGAAAUGUUCUAAUCCUCGGGGGACCACCGGUGGCGAAGGCGUUCGACGAGAACGGGCCUGACGGUGAGGGGCGAAGGCUAGGGGAGCAAACGGGAUUAGAUACCCCAGUAGUCCCUGUCUCUUAUU